Molecule: ribosomal RNA, 460 nt
Filed under: uncultured bacterium
Lineage: Bacteria
Description: partial 16S ribosomal RNA
Rfam family: Bacterial small subunit ribosomal RNA
Source: RNAcentral
CCUACGGGAGGCAGCAGUGAGGAAUAUUGGUCAAUGGGCGUAAGCCUGAACCAGCCAAGUCGCGUGAGGGAUGAAGGUUCUAUGUAUCGUAAACCUCUUUUGUAAGGGAAUAAAGUGUGGGACGUGUCCUCUUUUGUAUGUACCUUAUGAAUAAGGAUCGGCUAACUCCGUGCCAGCAGCCGCGGUAAUACGGAGGAUCCGAGCGUUAUCCGGAUUUAUUGGGUUUAAAGGGUGCGUAGGCGGGCUGUUAAGUCAGCGGUGAAAGUCCGGGGCUCAACCCCAGAGCUGCCGUUGAAACUGGCAGGCUGGAGUAGGUGUGAGGCAGGCGGAAUGCGUGGUGUAGCGGUGAAAUGCUUAGAUAUCACGCAGAACCCCGAUUGCGAAGGCAGCAUGCCAGGCCAUGACUGACGCUGAGGCACGAAAGCGUGGGGAUCAAACAGGAUUAGAUACCCUUGUAGUC